RNAcentral lists this transfer RNA (73 nucleotides) under Camelus bactrianus (Bactrian camel). It matches the Rfam family "tRNA". From Rfam's summary of the family: Transfer RNA (tRNA) molecules are approximately 80 nucleotides in length. RNAcentral also lists the same sequence under 2 other names. The record is from Rfam by way of RNAcentral. Lineage: Eukaryota; Metazoa; Chordata; Mammalia; Artiodactyla; Camelidae.
GGGGUAAUAGAUCAGUGGUACAGAGCGUGUGCUUGCCAUGUAUGAAGUCCUGGGCUCAAUCCCAGUGCCCCCA